This is a long non-coding RNA of Oncorhynchus tshawytscha (Chinook salmon), 961 nucleotides long. NCBI's taxonomy places the organism in Eukaryota, Metazoa, Chordata, Actinopteri, Salmoniformes, Salmonidae. The record is from Ensembl.
GGCACCGAGAAAAUAUAAUUCACAAGUUUGAACAAACAAAGAAAGGUAUGUAGCUCGGGGACGAAGGAGGCUGAGACUUGUGAUCUAAUGUCAGCGCAGAGCUCGAGAUCAUUGUACAGCGCUGAUGAAAAAUGGAAGAGUUACCACUGUUGGUCACAUUGGCUAACAAGGAAAAUGCAACCUUCAGCAGAUAUCGAGGGAAAUAGCCUUCCAUUCGAAAUCAAAUGCACUGUGCAGGGGGGUUUAUUUGGCCUAGAGGAAUUAUUUCAUAUUUUCAGGUGAGCCCUUGUUCAUUUGAUAAUGUGUUAUUCAUUAUGCUCAUACAAUGUUUGAAACAAUAAUUGACCUAAUUUAGUUGUGCUGUAGCGAAAGUCAAUCACUAUUUUAUUAGCACAUAUUAAUGCGCGUUGAGGCUCAUCAAAUAUAACAUGAAAGAAAUACUGGUCAUCCACAAGCUGGAGCACCUAGGCUACACCAAACAAACCUUUUCCAUAAAAAGAGUGCCCCUAAAAAUGUUUCCUAAAGACCUGGAGGCAGUACAUUUUGAAUUUCAGAUCCGCUCGAGUUUGAUGGAGUCGGUAACAUGGAGCAAUAUUAGGCUGACAAGGAUAAAUCUUGCAGCCUGGCGAAUAUGCAGUCUGCGUCUCAAUACACAUCCCAAUCAACAUUUGGGCACAGAGGGCCUGAAGAGACAAGUCUUCAGGGAGACAUCUCACUCGCCCAGAAACAGCCCAAGACUCCAGACCUCUCCUUCUGUUAAGCAUGGACUACCCGGAUGUCCACUUCCACUGGGGGCUGCAGUGAGACAAAGCUACUGGGAUCUCCUAUAGGACCUACGGUCUUCUGACAGACACCUGCUACAGUACCAGGGAGAACCAUGGCACCACGGUCCUCUACCUCUAUUCAUCUAGAUUCUACACUACAGUGUGGUUCAUGCUCAUACUGCAGUGGAACAUGAUGC